Molecule: ribosomal RNA, 1498 nt
Filed under: metagenome
Description: bacterial SSU rRNA
Rfam family: Bacterial small subunit ribosomal RNA
Source: RNAcentral
GAGUUUGAUCAUGGCUCAGAUUGAACGCUGGCGGCAGGCCUAACACAUGCAAGUCGAACGGUAACAGGAAACAGCUUGCUGAUUCGCUGACGAGUGGCGGACGGGUGAGUAAUGUCUGGGAAACUGCCUGAUGGAGGGGGAUAACUACUGGAAACGGUAGCUAAUACCGCAUAACGUCGCAAGACCAAAGAGGGGGACCCUCGGGCCUCUUGCCAUCGGAUGUGCCCAGAUGGGAUUAGCUUGUUGGUGGGGUAACGGCUCACCAAGGCGACGAUCCCUAGCUGGUCUGAGAGGAUGACCAGCCACACUGGAACUGAGACACGGUCCAGACUCCUACGGGAGGCAGCAGUGGGGAAUAUUGCACAAUGGGCGCAAGCCUGAUGCAGCCAUGCCGCGUGUAUGAAGAAGGCCUUCGGGUUGUAAAGUACUUUCAGCGGGAGGAAGGGAGUAAAGUUAAUACCUUUGCUCAUUGACGUUACCCGCAGAAGAAGCACCGGCUAACUCCGUGCCAGCAGCCGCGGUAAUACGGAGGGUGCAAGCGUUAAUCGGAAUUACUGGGCGUAAAGCGCACGCAGGCGGUUUGUUAAGUCAGAUGUGAAAUCCCCGGGCUCAACCUGGGAACUGCAUCUGAUACUGGCAAGCUUGAGUCUCGUAGAGGGGGGUAGAAUUCCAGGUGUAGCGGUGAAAUGCGUAGAGAUCUGGAGGAAUACCGGUGGCGAAGGCGGCCCCCUGGACGAAGACUGACGCUCAGGUGCGAAAGCGUGGGGAGCAAACAGGAUUAGAUACCCUGGUAGUCCACGCCGUAAACGAUGUCGACUUGGAGGUUGUGCCCUUGAGGCGUGGCUUCCGGAGCUAACGCGUUAAGUCGACCGCCUGGGGAGUACGGCCGCAAGGUUAAAACUCAAAUGAAUUGACGGGGGCCCGCACAAGCGGUGGAGCAUGUGGUUUAAUUCGAUGCAACGCGAAGAACCUUACCUGGUCUUGACAUCCACGGAAGUUUUCAGAGAUGAGAAUGUGCCUUCGGGAACCGUGAGACAGGUGCUGCAUGGCUGUCGUCAGCUCGUGUUGUGAAAUGUUGGGUUAAGUCCCGCAACGAGCGCAACCCUUAUCCUUUGUUGCCAGCGGUCCGGCCGGGAACUCAAAGGAGACUGCCAGUGAUAAACUGGAGGAAGGUGGGGAUGACGUCAAGUCAUCAUGGCCCUUACGACCAGGGCUACACACGUGCUACAAUGGCGCAUACAAAGAGAAGCGACCUCGCGAGAGCAAGCGGACCUCAUAAAGUGCGUCGUAGUCCGGAUUGGAGUCUGCAACUCGACUCCAUGAAGUCGGAAUCGCUAGUAAUCGUGGAUCAGAAUGCCACGGUGAAUACGUUCCCGGGCCUUGUACACACCGCCCGUCACACCAUGGGAGUGGGUUGCAAAAGAAGUAGGUAGCUUAACCUUCGGGAGGGCGCUUACCACUUUGUGAUUCAUGACUGGGGUGAAGUCGUAACAAGGUA